CACACAGAAGAGAGACACAGUGUCCCUGCUUUCUGUAGCCUUUUGCCCAGGAAAGAAUUCUGCAGACCUUUGGCUUGAUCUUCUCCAAGAAGGAGGUGUGUGUGUGGGGGAGGUUUGGGGUGGGGGGGGCAGAAUGUUUUUUUUCUUCCAGGGUGUGUUCGUGUGUGAUAGUUGCUCCAUUGUUCUUUCUUGAGGCCUGGCAUUGAAGGACAGCCCUCUCCAAUCCUGGGGAUUUAGAGGGGAUUUAGAUAAAAAGGAGGUUGGGUUGCAGGGUGUGCUUCCUCCUCCUCCUCCUCCUCCUCCUCCUCCUCCUCCUCCUCCUCCUCCCUGGGCUGAGUCGACUGCAGCACCUCUUAUCCCUUAAUGCCAUGUUACCGGACACCCAUUGCUCAAAGCGUUGCAUAAGCCCCACUUCCUGUCAAAUGCCAGGGAGAGAUAUAAAUCUGGGUGCCCCAGUGGGCACGCCAUCCUUUCUGCCCUCCGGCUGGCACCUGAGAAGCAUCAGGACCAGCAUGGAGGCCACCCUGCUCAGCCUUGCCGCGUUCUGCCUCUUCGGUGUCCAGGCCGACGUGGAAGUGGAUCCAAAUUUCGACCUUAAAAGGUUUGCAGGGAAGUGGCACGUCCCGGCACUCGCCUCCACCGACCCGAUGCUUGAAAGCCUGAAGGACAUCAUCACGACACCGGCAGCCCGGAUCGUCGCCUUACCAAAUGGCAACCUGGAAAUAGAAACAUACUACCUAUUGGGAGAAGAUUGCGAAGGGAUGAAAGGGACGUACGCGAAGACGGAGCGGCCCGGACACUUCGUUUCAAUUGACGAAAGGGGCAAGAAGGACCUGUGGGUGCUGGCCAGCGACGCCAACUUUGCCAUCGUCUACGUCCAGCGGGAGAUGAAGGGGAUGCCCACCAGCAGGAGUCUCCAGUUUUACAGCAAAGACCUCAAAGGAAGGGAGAACCUGGACAAAUUCAAGGCCUACUGCCAGAAAAUGGGGCUCAUGGGCGAACUGGUGGUCCCACCCUUGUCCGAUAAAUGUUUCCAGCAAAUUAGUGGCUGAAGAGAACCAGCCCAAGACCCUCCUCCGCCAAGAGGCUCCAUUCAGCCUGGAAGCCAUGAUUGCUGGUCUCCCACCUCUUACCCUGCCACCUUCCCCUUCCUCAUUUGCCUGGCCCGCCUUCCUUUCCCUUCCGUGGAAUAAAUAGAUUGCAACUUCCCCUCUUUUUUAGCCA
This 1224-nucleotide long non-coding RNA is filed under the name Notechis scutatus (mainland tiger snake). Its description in RNAcentral is "lncRNA (ENSNSUG00000003129.1)". Lineage: Eukaryota; Metazoa; Chordata; Lepidosauria; Squamata; Elapidae. The record is from RNAcentral.